UUAAAUUGAAGAGUUUGAUCAUGGCUCAGAUUGAACGCUGGCGGCAGGCCUAACACAUGCAAGUCGAACGGUAGCACAGAGAGCUUGCUCUCGGGUGACGAGUGGCGGACGGGUGAG
RNAcentral lists this ribosomal RNA (117 nucleotides) under Salmonella enterica subsp. enterica serovar Infantis. RNAcentral describes it as "partial 16S ribosomal RNA". It matches the Rfam family "Bacterial small subunit ribosomal RNA", at positions 1 to 110 of the family's 1533-position model. Lineage: Bacteria; Pseudomonadati; Pseudomonadota; Gammaproteobacteria; Enterobacterales; Enterobacteriaceae. The record is from RNAcentral.